Molecule: transfer RNA, 103 nt
Filed under: Friedmanniomyces endolithicus
Lineage: Eukaryota; Fungi; Ascomycota; Dothideomycetes; Mycosphaerellales; Teratosphaeriaceae
Description: tRNA-Pro
Rfam family: tRNA
About the family: Transfer RNA (tRNA) molecules are approximately 80 nucleotides in length. Their secondary structure includes four short double-helical elements and three loops (D, anti-codon, and T loops).
Source: RNAcentral
GGCCUGGUGGUCUAGCGGUAUGAUUGUCGCUUCGGGAUUUAUUUCCUGUCGUCUCAGACGGCGUGAAUGUGACAGGCCCCGGGUUCGAAUCCCGGCCAGGCCC